Molecule: ribosomal RNA, 484 nt
Filed under: uncultured bacterium
Lineage: Bacteria
Description: partial 16S ribosomal RNA
Rfam family: Bacterial small subunit ribosomal RNA
Source: RNAcentral
GACGAACGCUGGCGGCGUGCUUAACACAUGCAAGUCGAACGAUGAAGCCGGAGCUUGCUCUGGUGAAUUAGUGGCGAACGGGUGAGUAACACGUGAGUAACCUGCCCUUGACUCUGGGAUAACUGCGGGAAACUGUAGCUAAUACCGGAUACGACCCUCGGAGGCAUCUCCUGGGGGUGGAAAGAAUUUCGGUCAAGGAUGGACUCGCGGCCUAUCAGCUAGUUGGUGAGGUAAAGGCUCACCAAGGCGACGACGGGUAGCCGGCCUGAGAGGGGGACCGGCCACACGGGGACUGAGACACGGCCCAGACUCCUACGGGAGGCAGCAGUGGGGAAUAUUGCACAAUGGGCGCAAGCCUGAUGCAGCAACGCCGCGUGAGGGAUGACGGCCCUCGGGUUGUAAACCUCUUUUAGCAGGGAAGAAGCGAAAGUGACGGUACCUGCAGAAAAAGCACCGGCUAACUACGUGCCAGCCGCCGCAGUAA